GUAUAGAAGGGUUACUUAGACUUAUAAGAAGGUCGAGCCCACCGGCACUUAACACCAUCACAACAUCACAAAGUUAGGACCUGAAAAACAACAGGGAAUAAAACCCUGAGUACGGAAUUACUCAGCAAGACUUACCCGACUAAGGAAAAGACUCUCAAGGGCAUGCUGGCUAUCAGGGAGUCAAGGUAUGGUUUAUCAAGAAUCAAAGACUCUGUUUUGCAGAAAAGCUUACUACGAGUGGAUCCUUAAAAUCCAAUUUUAUUGUCAGGUUAGGUAAAGUUACCUGCAUCUAGAGUUUGUUCUACCCUAGUUCAAGCACUUGACCUACACUAGCCAAUUUCUUAACAACCCUUCAUCUUCACUGGAUUGCUACGUGUAAGUCAGUGACCAAGUCUUCAUAACCGCGAAGGUACGGCGAUCCGAAUCGAUUAUACUCAGCUGAGGAUCUCCAAUCACACGACAUAUGUAGCACUUAACCCUUGCAUAUGUCAACCCGCCACCGGGGUUCUUAAGACCAGAUCAGGUUCACGCAAACCGAGAGCACAGAUACACCACCGUCCAGCCUCUUGCUACGGAGGGUACACGCUACUCUCGCCACCGCUCCACGCCCAUUUCGUGUUAUCUUAUUCUGGCCUUAGUCUGCCCGAGGCAAGGCUUACCCAUGACGAGGCAUGUGACCAGUUAAAGGGUCCUCGGUCAGCAGGCCUACAUCGAGACGGUCCUUAAUCGACUCAGACGGAGACACUACACCGAGACUCUCUUCUCGUGCAAGUCACCCGCCCGGUCUCAGCUUAAUCAUUUCAACCCAAAGUUUGGUACCUGGCAGAGGUACAUCUUUUCCGAUGUUGAACCCAUCACGGCCAUGAUGGAUCCACCAUCAAGUUUUAUUUUCGAAAACAUCCCACCCACUUUUGCCACAUCAUCUUUUGUAAAAACAAAACAUUUUGUUUUGCUAGAGCAACACUAAGCAUAACAAAACCUUUUGUAAAACGGUGAUCAAGGAAGGUAAUCAAAUUCAAGGAAGGUAAUGCAGGAAUUGUUUUAGCAAUCAACUCCUAUCACCUAAUGCAUCAAUCAAGUGAGAAAGAUUUUAAAAACACAAGGAGGUGGCAAAUGCACCGGGGCUUGCCUGAGUAACACUAGGUUAGUGUUGUUAGGUGACGUCCGCUUGACGAGUAUCCUUCGACCGAGCACUUGCUUGAUUUAACCAUCUUCAGGUUGAUUCUUCAGCUUCAGCUUGCAGAUUAGCCCGCGCUUGGGGUCGACUUGGCUCGUCU
RNAcentral lists this long non-coding RNA (1277 nucleotides) under Zea mays. RNAcentral describes it as "long non-coding RNA (ZMAY_LNC005183)". Lineage: Eukaryota; Viridiplantae; Streptophyta; Magnoliopsida; Poales; Poaceae. The record is from RNAcentral.